GUAGGGACCGAAUUUCUGACAAUGACUCUGGUUUUAUGUUUCCAACUGCUAACUUAGCUUCAUUAACCAGUGGCUGAACCUCCUUCAGUUCGUCCUCAAUUUUUCUUUUUCUUUCUUCUAUUUCUGCAGCUUCUUCUGCUAUUCGUUGUUUUAUUUUUUCCAUUUCUGCUUUUUGCUCACUAGCAUUCUGCAUAGAUAUUGUAAUUUCCUGAAGGGCAGCAUCAGCUUCAUCCUGCUUCGUUUUGAGUAAAAUACUUUGUUCUCCAGCUUUUUUGUU
This 277-nucleotide long non-coding RNA is filed under the name Gallus gallus (chicken). Lineage: Eukaryota; Metazoa; Chordata; Aves; Galliformes; Phasianidae. The record is from RNAcentral.